UCGGCGGCCGAAACUCCCAGACAGAGACGAAAGUCUCCUUUCAGGGGCAAGCUUCGGCAGCCGAAGGCUGCUUCCACAAGCAUGUUCGGCGGCCGAAAGUUCCUUCGGCUGCCGAACCUGGUUUCUCCCUUAGUGGCAGAAACUCAGCUCUUCUAUGCAUAUACGCCUCCAAAACUUCCCAAACAUGCACAAACCUAUUCUACAACACACAUACACAAGCAUACCAGCUCCUAGGGGCUUCAAACUAUCCUAAGCCCCAUCUACAACACAUCAAACAUGCAUUGGCAAGCCAC
Molecule: long non-coding RNA, 293 nt
Filed under: Manihot esculenta (cassava)
Lineage: Eukaryota; Viridiplantae; Streptophyta; Magnoliopsida; Malpighiales; Euphorbiaceae
Description: long non-coding RNA (MESC_LNC007158)
Source: RNAcentral